RNAcentral lists this ribosomal RNA (406 nucleotides) under uncultured bacterium. RNAcentral describes it as "partial 16S ribosomal RNA". It matches the Rfam family "Bacterial small subunit ribosomal RNA", at positions 30 to 526 of the family's 1533-position model. The record is from RNAcentral.
AUUGAACGCUGGCGGCAGGCCUAACACAUGCAAGUCGAGCGCGCGGCGGACGGGUGAGUAAUGUCUGUGAAACUGCCUGAUGGAGUGGGAUAACUACUGGAGACGGUAGCUCAUACCGCAUACCAUCAGAUGUGCGCAGAUGGGAUUAGCUCGUAGGUGGGGUAAUGGCUAACAUAGGCGACGAUCCCUCGCUGGUCUGAGAGGAUGACCAGCCACACUGGAACUGAGACACGGUCCAGACUCCUAGGGGAGGCAGCAGUGGGGAAUAUUGCACAAUGGGCGCAAGCCUGAUGCAGCCAUGCCGCGUGUGUGAAGAAGGCCGUCGGGUUGUAAAGCACUUUCAGCGGGGAGGCGUUACCCGCAGAAGAAGCACCGGCUAACUCCGUGCCAGCAGCCGCGGUAAUUC